UACGGGGGGAGCGAGCGUUGUUCGGAAUCACUGGGCGUAAAGCGUGCGUAGGCGGAUUGACAAGUCAGAAGUGAAAGCCCAGGGCUCAACCCUGGAACUGCUUUUGAAACUGUCUUUCUAGAGUAUGGUAGAGGUUGGGAGAAUUCCUAGUGUAGAGGUGAAAUUCGUAGAUAUUAGGAGGAAUACCAGUGGCGUAGGCGCCCAACUGGACCAUUACUGACGCUCAGGCACGAAAGCGUGGGGAGCAAAC
Molecule: ribosomal RNA, 250 nt
Filed under: uncultured bacterium
Lineage: Bacteria
Description: partial 16S ribosomal RNA
Rfam family: Bacterial small subunit ribosomal RNA
Source: RNAcentral